This is a long non-coding RNA of Schistocerca nitens (vagrant locust), 402 nucleotides long. RefSeq lists it as uncharacterized. NCBI's taxonomy places the organism in Eukaryota, Metazoa, Arthropoda, Insecta, Orthoptera, Acrididae. The record is from RefSeq and is a predicted model, not a curated record. The transcript has 2 exons.
ACAGAAGAAAGUGGACACACUGGAAAAAUGGAAUAACAUUGCAUAAAAUAAAUUUUCAGCUAAAUCCAUCAAAACUUCAAGGGUGAGUUCAUAGAGUUCAGGAAGCCAUUCUGUUAACAUAAUAAUAAGAAAGAUUGAGAAAUAUAUUGAGUGUAUCAGUAAUGACAACAUAAUUCAAUGACCGAGUUGGAAAGAGAGUUUUCACAUGGACUGCCAGGUAUUGGACUGGGCUAUGGGAAGCCCCACAAGGCAGUUAAUUGUGUUAGGUAUGCUAUGCUACAAUCACUUUUUUGCUGGCAGUCCAUAAUGCACAUUAUGAAACAGUAUUUCAUAUUGUAGUGAUGUGUGUAAUAAACAAAUUCAUUGUUUCAUAAAAUAAAUUAUUAGCGAAGAUGGAGAUAA